CCUGAGCAUAGCUUGCACCUUUACGUGGUGCUUAGGAUGAGUAACCAGUCGGUGAAACUAAGCAAGC
This 67-nucleotide non-coding RNA is filed under the name Aspergillus nidulans FGSC A4. Lineage: Eukaryota; Fungi; Ascomycota; Eurotiomycetes; Eurotiales; Aspergillaceae. The record is from RNAcentral.